UUAACUCAAAUUUGUAUGGAGUUGGAACGUUUGCCUACGUUUACCGCUAGGGCACUGUUCCAACUGCAUACAAAUUUUAGUUA
Non-coding RNA from Bombyx mori (domestic silkworm), 83 nucleotides. The record is from Rfam. NCBI's taxonomy places the organism in Eukaryota, Metazoa, Arthropoda, Insecta, Lepidoptera, Bombycidae.